CUGCAAAAUGUACCCAGACUUAAGCUACACUGAGAGCACCACCACUGAGACUUUGGUUAUGGGAUUUGCACCUGUUAAGGCCCAUUUUGAGGGUUCUGAAAUGGGUUUUGGAGCUGAGAAUGAUGGUUGCAAGUGUGGAGCAAAUUGCACCUGUGAUCCCUGCACCUGCAAGUGAAGUUCAGAAUCAAAUCUUCAAGCAUAAAUGGUUCCAUUUAGUAGCAUGAAAUUAUAAUAAUAGCACUAUCAUAUGUGGUUACUUGUACUAAGUGUUAUGUGCGAGUAUGGUUUGUGUACUCUUAAGAGGUUUGGUUUGGCUACACCCUUUUAGAGAGUGUUAGAAUAAAGUAUCAAUGUAGUAAAACCUUUAAGCAAAUUCAUAUGUUUUUUGGAUUUUCGAUGGGCGUAUAUAAGUUUAGCUAAUCCUAUUAUCAAUCUCUUUUUAUUAUUAAUGAAAUCCUAUUAUUGUAUUAGAAAGUUGUGUUUUUAUUUCAAGACAUCAUUUUUUCCUGAUAAUUUCUAUCAUUUUUUAAGGUCAUAUUGCAUGACAAAUAGAAAAGAUGUGACACCAUAGUAGUUUGUAUUUAUAAGGUGGUCCAACUAUUUUUAAGGACAUUGAAGGAAGUUUUUUUUAUUAAGACUUGGAAUCUUUAUUGAGAUUUUUUUAAGAGUUAAUAAUAAUUAAAAAUUAAUAUGAAUUGACAGAGUAUAAAAGUGUGUGGUACUCACAUUUGAAGGGAAUAUUGUUGGGUUUAUUCAAGUGUGAAAUCUCACAUUGGAUAUGUAGGGAGGAGUGAAAGAGUUUAUAAGAAGGAAAGACACAUGAAACUAAUGCCUUGAGGUUUUGGUUCAAGACGUGGUGUCUCACUUGUGGUUGGAGGCUCCCCAGUAGCAGUCUGGUCCAACAAUUAUAAACAAUAUCACUUUUCUGCAAUUGAGCUCCACUACUAAGGAUUUUUGUCCUUCUUCAUCCUACAUAUUGGAAUCAGUGAUUGAUGGAUGAUAGGGUAAAUAGUAUAUUCAUUAGGAGAACAUCUACUUACUCUAUAAUUAAGUUAAAAAAAUCUACUCCUUAUUAAUUCUAUGAAAAUUUAAUGAUUCAGAUUAUUUAUGUUUUUUUAAGUUACUCGUGUAGAUCUAUUACGCUCUAAAUUGCUAAAUUAUCAAUUUGAAAUCGAUUGAAGCAUGAUCACGUCAAUGUAUUGGACCCCUUUAGUACACUUACACUAUGUUUAGUUUGGGGAAGAAAAGUUGAGGAAAGAAAAGUUAAGAGAAGAAAAUGAGGGGGAAAUAUGAUGAUUUUUAGUUGUUUGGUAUGAUAGAAAAUGGAAAGAAAGUUGAGAGAAAAUAUAAUUAAAAUUAAUGAAAAUCACAUGAUAAAAACACAAAAGCAUGAGUCACACUGUAUGAUUGUACUAGUUUGGUUUUAGGGAUCACAAAAAUACUCAAUCCAUAUACACCCACAAAUAUACCCAACCCGUACAUACCCAUAAAAAAUACAUAUAAUGAGUAUCUGCAAUAAUAAUUCAUAGGCGGAUACAAGUAUCAUGAUACCAUCUCAUAUGUAUGCGCAUAUUAUGAACUUAUUUUUUAAUAAAAUAAUUUAUUUAUUAUAAUUUUAUACUACUUUAAAAUUAUAUAUUUUAAUUAUUUAAUAAUAAAUUUUAAUUGUUGAAUAUUUCUUAUUAUUCAUCUAAUAAUUAUUUUUAUAUAUAUUAUUGUUACAAAAUAUAUAAUCAAAUUAUUAAAGUUGAGAAUCUCUUGAUACCUACAAAUAGUCGCUACCCUUGUGGGUACCUGCAAAAUGUGCUAGAUAUGGAUACGGAAAAAAAUACAUGUGUUCGGUGUGUCCGACUACCAUCCCUAUUUUUUUUUCACUAGAGUGACAAAGUUGUAAUUUGAUGUAAGAAAUAAAUUAAUUAUUUUAACAAAAUUGUAAUUUGAUUUACACUAUAUUUUUAGUGGCCCCAUUAUCCUUUUUUCUUUCCUUCCAACUAAAUGAUGGAAAAUAAACUUUUCCUCUACUUUUAUCUCCUCAUCUUUUCUUUCCUUCUAUUUUCAUCACAAGCAAACAUAGCCUUAAGGAUAUAUAUAUAUAUAUAUAUAUACCCUAUUUUUAAACUUUCAUUACAUUAACCACCAUGUAUAAGAAAGAAGUGUAAUCUUUUAAACAAAAAAUGUGAUAAAUGCAAUUAAGUUAAACAAAACAUGAUAUAUUGUGUAGGCAAGUCUAAAUAAUAUACAAAUCAAUGUAUCUUUAUUAUUUUUUGUUACAAAAUGCAUCAACAAUUCUAAAGAAAUAUUGUUUAAAUCGCUCUUAUAAUAUAGUGUAACGAACUAAAAAUAACAAAGAAAUAUUGACUCAUCUAUUAUUUGGACGUGUCUCCAUAAUAUGUCAUGUUUUGUUUAGCUUAAUUGCAUUUAUCACAUUUUUUGUUUAAAAGAUUACACUUAUUUCUUAUGCAGGGUGGUCAACGUAAUGAAAGUUUAAAAAUGGGAGAGGUUUGUAUAGGUGUAGAAAAGUGAGGGGUGAUUUAUGAAAUUUCACUAAAACUCAGGGGGUGUCAGUAUAAUUUACUCUAUAUAUUAAUCUUAAAUUGGUACAUUAUCAAUCUGAAAUCAUAAUAUUUGAUUGAAAACAUGUCAAUGUAGUGGGCCUUUUCAUUUUGUUGUCUCAUUUUCAUUGGAAUGAAUAUCAAUUAUCUCACUUUUUUUUGUCCAAAUUAUGUCUCAAUCCAAUUAAAAGUUUUUAUUUUCCUUUCUUACUUUGGAAGCAGUUACACCAAAACUGAUUAUGUUUGGUUAAGGAGAGAUAAUAGAAGGAUAGAAAGUGGAAUAGAAGAGAAUAUAAGGAUAGAAAAAUUAUAGAAAAUGAGAUAAUAAUUUUGUUGUUUGGUAUGAUUGAAAAUGAAAGGAAAGUAAAAGGAAAGAAAAUGUAUAUCUACACAUAAUUCAUCAAAAAUGACAAAAAUACCCUCGUUACUUUUAUAUAAAAAAUUAUGUAGCAUGUCUAAUUUUAAAAACUAUACUUUGUUGUUGCAAAUUACAAAAAUAAAUAAUUUUUUAUAUUAAUUUAAUAUAUCAAUUUUUGUUCAACAUAUAAAUUAUAAAAUUUAAUAUAACAAUUUUUGUUUAUAAAAUCUAAUGAAAAUCAUUAAUAUUCUAUAUUUUCUUGCCACUAAUCCAUCUAAAGAAAUCAUAACUCAUAUUUAGUAACCAUUUUUAUAUUUAUAAUCAUCUCAUUUUUGCACAUUUCGUUUUGUAUUUUUUAUUUAUUCAUUAUAUGUCAUUUUGUUCUCAAUUUUAGGAAAUUAUGUUUUGUUUUUCUUUUCACUACAUUUUUAUUGAACAUAUAUAAUUAUUAUUUAUUUGUGAGUUCAUAAGAAAAGAAAUUAAAAUUAAGUAAACUAAUUUCACAUAGAAUUAAAUAUAAACAAAUAGUAAGUUCACUAUAUUUUAUUUAUUUUCACCUAGAAUAUUGUACUCUUAAUUAACUUAUGGUGGAGGAUAAAUUUGCAAUCUUCCAUGGUUUUCUUUUCUUUCUCCAUUUUCUUCACAAAGUAGCAAUGUUAUGAAAUCUGAGCCGAACGUCAAACCGGAAAAAGUCACGUAUUAGGUUUAACCGGUUUAAACAGUUAAAUCAUUCGGUCUGACCAGAUGUUUUCAUACAUAAUUAAUAGUUUUUAUCUAUAAAUAUCAUUAUAUAUAAAUGUAAAAUUUUAUAUAGUUAAUAAUCAUGUAUAAUUACAUUAAAGUAACAUCCCUUCAUCUUUUUUUGGACUGGAGUAAAAUAUAAGAUGAAAGUAGUGUUCCAUUUUUUAAUUUUUAAGUCAAGCGUCCGGUUUACUUCCCGGGUUAAUCCGGAUUAACCGGGUUUAACACGGUCGGACAAAAAUUUAUCCGGUUCAAAGUGGUCCAACCCUCAUUCGGUUAAAACUGUAAACCAGAGUCGUUUUCAAGUCCGGUCAGCAGUCAGAUUGGUCAAGCAGUCUAGUAUGGUCCGGUUCUCAUAACACUGCAAAGUAGGGAAGAAAAGUUUUUUGUGGGCCUCAUUCAUGUUUUUUUCUUUCCUCCUAUUUUGUAUCGGAACCAAAUGAUGAGAAAUGAUAUUUUUCACUCCUUUUCUUUUCUCUUAUUUUCUCUUCUCUUCUUUUUCAUAGAAUCAAACAUAACCUUAGUGGUGGUGGGUACUACUUUCCAUGUUAGUGUUUCAAAAUUGUUUUUUGAAAUAUUUUGAGCUUUCAUAAUGGGGUCCCUAUCUAAUGGAGAAAUUGAAGUGUUGGAUAGUGGUUCCAACUUACGACGAGAAGUCAAGAAUAUGUGAAACUAAGAUGACAACUAAGGAGGUGACUUAAUUGAUGAGAGAAAUGGUCAAUUUUUCUGCAAUAUAUUAGAAUGUAAAAGCAACGGAAAAUUGUUGUAGAAAUUAACCAAGUUAAACUCAAAAUUUAAGCACAAGAAGAGGGUAGAAGAAGAAUACACAAAGAUUUUUAUAUUGGUUCACCUUCUUAUCCACCAAAGACUAUAUCUAAUACUCUUGCCACACAAGAGAUUUUUCAGCUAGAUACUUUGACUUGCAAUUACAACUUCUAUUAUGAGACCCUUGUACCUUACACAGUCACAAAUAUUUCUCCCUUGGAAAACAACCUUUCCAAGUAAAUUCUUCCCCUUACCACCACACCCUUGUGAUGACAAGUUUACAAUAUGAUGAAGAAUGAUAAUAAUGGUAAGAUUGUCUUUACAAUAUAUGACAAUGUUAUAACUUGCAAUCUUUUGACUCUUAAUAUACUUAGUAAACAAAUGCUCUUAGAAAGUGUUUAAGAAAACUUUAAGAACUUGCAAUUUAAACAACUUCUGAAAACUUCUGAGAAUUAACAUUGACAUAAUCAGUGGGGGAUGUUGACCUAGAGUUUAGGAGGGGCAAUAAUAUUUAAUUGUAAUUUGUAAUUAAGAUUAAUUGAAUAACAAAAAAAUAUAGAUAAUUAUUUCAAAGUUUCAAACUAACAUAUAAAUUCUAAAUAAUAAUAAUUAAUAAUUAAAAACAUAAAAAAAAUGUAUAUUUAUUUAAAGUGUCCUCUUAGUUAAAGACUUCAAUUCAUCUAUGAUCGAAUUAAGAGUAAAGAUUUCAGCUAUUUAUAUUUGAAUAAAUCAUAAUGUUAUCUACAAGAAAUUCAUAUUCUAUUUUACUACAAAAAUUUAUUUGUUGUAUUCGUUGCUGAAAGUUGUCUUCUUGUAGUAGUUACACAAUGAUAGUUAAGAUAAGACAAAUAACUUGAUCAAGCAAAUUAUAUGCCUUUACUUUUACUAUAUCAUCAAAGUUGCACUUUAUUCAAAGAUGAUUGAUAGUUUUUCAAGCAUGAAUUACUAACAACAUAAAUAAUAAAAGGUUGAAACUAACAUCUCAAACAAAUCAUUUCUUAAUCGCAUUGAAGUCCAUAGGUAUAUUUUGGCACAAAAAUACAUAUAUUAUAAAUAUUAAAUGAUUUAUAAAAAUACAUAGAAUAUUAGGACUUUUGAUGCAAAAGUUUGACAAAGACAAUUUAUGAUUUUAUAAUAUUUUCUUAAGUGCAACAUCAAUAUGAACUCAAAUGAAAUAAAAAUAUUAUAAUCAAUAUCGAUAUUUACACAUGUAAAGAAUUUUAUCUAUUAUCUAUAAUUUUUAGAAAAAUAUACAGUUUGUAUAAGAUAAAAAUAUAUAUUAGAAAAAGGUAAAUAAAAUUUUUAAAAUAAAUGAAACAAAAAUCCAGGGCAGUUGCCUCUACCUGCCAAAUCAUAUAAUAAUAUUCUUAAUACAAUAAAUAUUCACGUUAAAGGCAUUUAAAUUUUUUAUGUUGAGGUUACUGGGUAACGUGUAUUCACUAUACUGUAUAUAAAAUAUACAUAAUACAUUACUAUUAUUAUAUAAUAUAUUACUAUCAAUAUAUAAUUUGUUUCUAUUAAUAUACAAUAUAUUACUAUUAAUAUAGUUACUCUAGUAUGAAUAUAUAGUUUUGUAUGUAACAUAUUAUUGCUACUUUAGUUACUGUCGUAUCACGUAUGAAUAUAUAGUUAUGGCAGCACAAACAAAAAUAUAUAGUAUCAUUUACAAUUGUAAUUGUAAGUAGCUAUGGUAGGCGAGGCAAUGACGGACAACAAAACCAGCACCAGACAGUGACAGUAGAGGAGAGGCAAUAAGGAUGAUAGAGUGUUAAAUGUCAAACUUACCUUAAUUCAGAGGGCUAAUUUAGGACUUGUCAACUCUAAAUACUUACUUUAUGUAAUCAUAAUUGAGAUUUUGAUAAUAAAUUGUACUAAUCCCAUUUUCCAAGUUUCCAUGUGUGUUUUAGGCUGAAAAUAGGCUAAUUGGGCCAAGGAAUGGGCCAAAAUGGGCUAAGCAUGGAAAAGCCGAAACCAGCUAACCUACAUUUAACGCAACAUCUAAGCUCAACGCAUGAAGUGCUAAGCGUGAAAGUCACCAGGGUCAUAUGAGAGGAGGUGCACUCAGCGUACCGUUACUAUGCUAAGCGCAAGAGUCAAAAGUCAGAAAAUAAAAAUGAGAUCUUAAACACAAAAGGAAUGGAGACUGCAUGAGUUGAGUCUUAAAAUUCAAUAUCUAGGAUGAUUUUUCGUCUUAGUUUGUAGAUUUAUACAGUUGGAAACAUGAUGUAACAGUUAGGAGGUAGAAAUGGUGAAGUUCUAGUAUGUUCAUCGCGAAGCCGACACUUCUCCACGAACUACAAGUUCUGAAUUUUAUUUUUAUUGAGUUCUAUAUGAAAAUACUUAAUUAGAUUGCUUCUUAGCUGAGAUUGAUUAUUUCUAUUCAUUAGUAUUUUGGAGUUUGAUUUAUGAAUAAAAAGUUUUGAUUUUUAUGAAUUGUUCUUGUUGCAUUUUAAUGCUUACUAUGUGUUCGACGAAAUACCUAGUUCGUAUUAGGAAAAGAACUUUGUAAAUAAAUUUCCGUUCAAUAGUCCAAAGCAUGUAAUUCAUCCUUUUUGCAUAAAACUAGACAUAGUUGCAUGUUUAAAUGUCACGAUGAAUGUCUAUGUUCAUAUGUUUGCUAGACAUUGAUGCAAGUUUGAUGGUUCAUAUAUUGUAAUUUUAUCAAUUGAGUUGCUAGACAUAGAGCUAACAAUUUGAUAAAGUGUUAGCAUAGACUAAGACAUUAGAGGCUAAUACAUUUGAGGGCGUGCAUUAAUCUCAACCCAUAUGCAUAGUUUCUAGAAAUAGAGGUGUGUGUGAGCCAUAAUAUCUGAUCUUGUGUUUAAGGUUUUGUAUUUUUUCAUGAAUUGCUAAGCAGACUAGAGUAUUAGUUCUUAGCGUACUUGAGGUCUCAUGCUGUGUACAAUCACACUUAUUUUAUUUACUUUUUUUGCUCACUCUUAUUUUUUUCAUUUUCUCUGUAUGUCAUCCUUAUUUUGAUCAUCAAUCAAUUACUUGUGCAUAUAUAAUCUUCUGAUUUUCCAUUCUAUUAAGCACAUGUGAGUCACUUUCUAAACUCUCUUUCUUUAUACACUGUCUUAUGUAUAAUUAAAUCUCAAACUAUAGUCAAAAUUAUAAUAUUAUGUAUAAUUAAAUGUUCAAACAAAAUUAUAAUAUUAUGUGUACUAAAUACAAAAAAAAUAUGAUAUAAUUCUUUAAAAUGAAAUAUAUAAAAAUUAAAUAUUCAAUACUAGAAAAUAAAAUUACAGCACAGUAGGUAUGAAGUACAUAUCGACACGCUAGUACCAAUAAUCUUAAAACCAUAUAAUACUUCCUUCUACCAAACAAUCUUUAGAGGGUCUCAAAAUUGAAGAAUCGAUUUCACAUAUGACUAAAGGUUGUCAGACACGAAUGUAGACAUUUAUGUCCCAGGGUUUUCAACCAUAUAAUAGAUUUAUAUAAAGUUAUAUCAAUAUCAUUCAAUUAUUAUAUACAAUUUUAUAUUAUUUAACCAUUAUUAUUAUAAUUGAAUCAAACAUAAACUCUGUCAAUUAUUAGUUCAAUGACGAAAUUAGCAAGUCACUAGUUAGACUAGUUAAAUCGAUAUACCUUAAAAAUAAUUGAAGUUUUAUGGUAUUGUUAUUACACAAAUACUAAUUAAACAAUCAACAAAAAAAGUUUUACAAUAAAUAAAAUGUUACAAAUAAGUUGAAAAUAUUGUCAAAUAAUAUAGUUUUUUUACGAUUUAACUACAACAAAGUAUACAAAUAAGUUUAAACUUUAACUAAACAAAUUAGAAUUUGUUACAAUAUAAGCUAAAAGAUAAAAAAAUCGUAUAACGACAAACAUAAACACAAAUAAGUUGAACACAAAAAAUUAUUUUUCCUCACAAGACAUCAUUUUGAUGUUAAAUUUUAAAAAUUGGUUGAUUCAGCCAACGAGAGUAGUUAGAUCGACCAAGUUGCUAGUGUUUUAUGCAAAAUAGUCAAGUCGAACUAAUCAAUACUAGUUUUGGUUCAUAACCGUUCAAAUGAGCAAUUCAAACUAAUUAGAUGUUCAUUCUAGGUUAGAUCAUUCACUCGAAUCAAAUUUAAUAACACUACAUUUAUUGCAACUUACACCUCUGACUGAGGGUCCUAGAUACGCUAAAGUGUCAUUUAUCAUAAAUUUUAUUAUGUAUUUAAUGCUUCUAGUUUUUUUUAUGGUGUACUAAGUGUUUAUGUAAUUAUUGACUCUUAUUUUAGAGUCAUUUUAUUAUUGUUUACAUUAAAUUUAAAAUUACUAAAAUUGAUUUCAGUUUUCUCGGGAUUGGUGUUAAACAGAAACCUCUCUUUUUUUCAAUUCUGUGAACUACGAAACCACAUUUAUGUAGUAUAUAUAGAUGCUCCCACAUACAUUUUAGGCAUCGCCAAACUAGUGAGUGUUUAUUUCCAUGGAAAAACUAAGUGGAAAGUUACAACAAGUUCAUGGUAUUCACAUUAAGAAAGAAGAUGAAGAUAAUAAUAUUUUUGGAAAUUAUGAAUCUGCUAGUGUUUAUCAACACAAUAGGUCUAUUGACAACAAUCAACCACCACAAAUUGAAGACCAAGACCAAGGUCAUCUUUCUAUAGGACAUGAAAUUAAUUUUGAGGUAGACUCAUUUUUAUUCAUUCCAAUUGAAUGUCAUUUGUGUUUUUAUUUUAUUUUUUGUCAAUUUAAUUUGAAUGCUAGAUUAUUUGCUUGUCUUCAUUAUUGCCAUUGAUAUACUUAUAGAUUACCUUGCCAACUAUUAUUUUUCCUUAUUUUUUAUAUAAAAUUAAUACAUUGAAAUUUUGUUCACAGUAUAUGUUACAAAAAUAUUUUUAUUUUUCUUGUUUUUGGUUUAUUUAAAGGUGAAAUCAACUUCAGAAGAAUCGAAAGAGAUACAUGUAGUUGACAGAAUGCUGAAUGAGCAUGGAAGUGGUUUGGGUGAUGAUUUGAAACUGAAAAUUUCGCCUCAAUGCCCAACUUCAUGCAUCUCGUCGUUGUCAUCGACACCCUUUAACAAAACAUGUGCAUCUUCCAUGUUAGGUUCUAAUGAGAAUCUUAGUGAUGCUUCAAAAGAUGAGGAAAUAUCAUUCACUUUGGUGGGGUGUACUCGUUGCUACAUGUAUAUGCUGGUAUCCAAAGAUAACCCAAGAUGCAUUAUAUGCGGGAAUGGCAUGUUGAUUGACAAGUUCGAUUGAAUUCCAGAAAAAAAUGGUGCAAAGCUGAAUUUACUUUGUAUUUUUUUUCUUUUAAAAUUUCAGGAAGAUUUAUGUUUUCUAUAUGUUGUCAUUUGGUAAUAGAUUAUGUGGUCAUUUUACCUUUAAAUUACUAAAGGUUAUAAGGGAUUAUCAAGAUUAUGGAAGGUUGAGAUAAAUUCCCCAUUACUCCCUUCAUUCUUCGUCUUUUAUUUUCUAAUUUUAAAGUUUUUCUUUGUUUCAGAACUUUUAGUUUAACAUUUUUAAGGCUUAGACAUUCCAAUUUUUAUCCUCAUUAAAUAAUUAUAUUUUCAUCUUUACUUUAUCACAGUAUGAAGUAACUAAAGAAUAUAAUUAGGUUUCUACAUCUUUCAAGAGAAUAAUAUAAGAAUUUUAGUAAAAAAUACUAUAAAAUUGCAAUCAAAUUAAUAAUUCCUUAAUAAAUGUCUUAAUAUAUUAAAUUGAUAAUGAAUGAAGAGGGUAUAAAGAAUUGAUUAUUUGAGAAAGUUUGGUCGAAUAAGUUAUUAUAAUAUAAGCACAUAAAUUUAAGAAUUAGUUCAAUUUUAAUGCAUAUAAAGUGUUUUGAACUUUCAACUAAUCAAAUGUCCUUAUAUGUGAGACCUUUUAAGUUAGUUAUUACAAGAGCAUGUUAUUUGUUGUGAUUUGAGGAAACAUAAGAAAAUUCUUAAUAGAUAGCGAGCACAUGACAACUAUAUCAUUUAAAAAUUAAGUAUUAAAGUGCUUAUUAAUUAUCUAUCUAUUUACUAUCUAACAAAAAAACUAUUGUCGCAUUAGCAAUGAUACAUGUCAAUGCCAACUCUUGUCACAUUAGUAAGUGACACAUGUCAAUACUUUAUGCAAAAUUUUCCUCUAAAAAGUUAUCUGCCUCUUAUUGUAUAACCUCACCUCACACAUAAGAUGAAAAAAUUUCUUUACUGUUUGUUUCAAUUUAACAUUAUAGCUCAUUAUCUUUCUCUCACACUUUUUUCUAUUGUUCCAUAUUUUUCUCUCACAUUUUAUUCUAAAGCAUAAAAUCAUCUCUAUACUUUUUACUCCCUCAUUUCAUCACUUUUCUUAUCUUCCACCAAUUUUUUAUCUUCUUGGUUCGUAUUCUUCUUCCAUUUCAUUUUACCCUUGAUGUCUCUUAUUGUUGGUUCACCAUUGAAGCAUUAUUGUAGGUUAGUUUUCUAUAUAUUUGUGUAUCUAAUAUUUUGUUUGUAGAAUUUUCUACUAAAAAUAAUCAUUAUUUUAACAAAGAGCAUAUGGAUUGUCUUUACCAGGUUGUAAUAUAAUUGUUGAAAAUGACAUAUAGAUUGUCUAUAUCAAGUUGUAAUAUAAUUUUUUAUCUUUUUAUAUAGUUUAUUUUGUAUUAUAUUGUAGUUAAGACUUUCAAUCUGAUCAAUUCAAAAAUUGAUUCAAGAUCACAACUGUAAUUGAAUCAAAUCUUCUAAGAUGGAAAAUUAUGCAAUUUAAGAUAUGUUAUUAUUUGCAUUUAUUUGAGGUGAGAGAUUUUAUGCCAUGUGCAAAUUUGCUUAAUUAAUAUUUUUACUACGUUAUGAAACAUUUAUUGGUCAAUCAUUACAUAACGUUAUAUAAUAUUAAAGUGCAAUCAUUAUAAUAUUGAAUUGCAACCGUGUAAUAAUAUAUUUUCAUAAAAUUCAAAUUAUAAAAAAAGAAUUAUAACCGUACAAUUGUACCAUCAAAUUUAUAAAUUUUACUAUAUAUGUUUGUAAUUUUAAUUUUUCUUCUAUUAGUUCUAAAAGUACCAGCUAUAUUUUUAGCUAAUAAAUUAUAGUUUGAUAUUUUACACCUAAAAUAGAAUAACAAUAUUAGGAAAGUGGUUAAUUCAAAUAUUAGCAUAAUUCAAAUUAAAGUUAUUUCCAAUUCAUUAAUUUUAGACAUUGCUUAUUAUAGAUAUAAACGUAUAAUUAGUAUUUUCUUGAUUAAUAAUUUUAUUAUGUUAUGAAACAUUAUGAAAUAUCUUCACUACGUUAUGAAAUAUUUAUUGGUCAUGUACGUUAUUUUAAAAUUUAUUUAAUAUAAAAUCAAUAAAAUGCUUAGCAAAUUAACUUCUUCCGUACAUACAGUUACAAUACAGUCAUUACAUUAAGAAACAUUAAUAUGCAGUUGUUACAUUAUAUAAUAUUAAAGUACAAUCAUUAUAUAACGAUAUAUAAUAUAAAAGUACAAUCAUUAUAAUAUUUGAAUUGCAACAGUGUAAUAAUAUAUUUCCAUAAAAUUUGAAUUGUAAAAAAAGAUUUGUAACCGUAUAAUUGUAACAAAGAAAAUUUAUAAAUUUUAAUAUAUAUGUUUGUGAUUUUAAAUUUUCCUUUAUUAGUUAUGAAAGUAUCAACUAUAUUUUUAGCUAAUAAAUGAUUUGACAUUUUACAACUAAAAUAGGAUAGCAAUCUUAGCAAAAUGACUAAUUCAAAUAUUAGUAUAAUUACAAUCAAAGUUAUUUCCAAUUCCUCAAUUUUAGAUCAUGUUCAUUAUAAAUAUAAAUUUAUUAACAUUUAUUAUAUUUCUUAUUGUUACUAUUUGAAUACUACAAUAGUAACAUUGCAAUAUUAGAAUCAUAUCUAAACUAUAAAUAAAAUAUGUUCACAAUGAGUUCUAAUAUUAAGGAAUACAUAUUUGUUAUGAUUUAUAAAUAUUUUAUAUUACCUAUUAUAUAAUUAAGUAGUAUACAAAUUUAUACAUAUUUAUAAAUAUUUAUGUUUCCUUAAUUUUAGACAUAGCUCAUUAUAGAUAUAAACAUACAAUCAAUAUUUUCUUGAUUAAUAUUUUCAUUACGUUAUGAAACAUUUAUUGUUCAUGUAUGUUAUUUUAAAAUUUAUUUAAUAUAAAAUCCAUAAAACGCUUAGCAAAUUAAUUUCUUCCAUACACACAGUUACAAUGCAGUCAUUACAUUAAGAAACAUUAAUAUGCAGUUGUUACAUUAUAUAAUAUUAAAGUACAAUCAUUAUAUAACGAUAUAUAAUAUAAAAGUACAAUCAUAAUAAUAUUUUAAUUGUAACAAUGUAAUAAAUGUUUUCAUAAAAUUUGAAUUGUAAAAAAAAAAACUUGUAACCUUACAAUCAGUGUUAUAAAACUCGGCUCGAACCGGCCGGUCAGACCGGUUCAACCAUGAACCGGUCAUCUAACCGGUCUGAGUCUCUCAUCUAACCGGUUUUGUAUCAAAAUUGGUUUAACUCAGUUAGUUUAAGCGUAAAACUGAUGAUUUGGAUGAUCGGACCAGUUGGACCGGCCGAAUCAAUCAAAAUUAAAAAAAUAACCAAAUUGAUGAGGUGAAAAAGUCAAAUAUUUUUAAUUUAUAUGUAAUUAUCUUUGUCACUUGUUAUCUUACGUUAUAACGAAAUCUUUGUUGUUUAAUUAAAUUUUAAAUUUAUUGUACAUUUUUGUUGUAGUUAAAGCAUAGUUUAUAUAUUAUUUGAUAAUUUUUUCAACUUGCUUGUGUCAUUUUAUAGUAUUAAAAUUUUCUUUAUUGAUUGUUUAAUUAGGUACGCUAAUGUUUUUAAAUUUUGAGUAUACAAUUAUUAAAUGUUGUUAUACAAUAUCAUUAAUUUUUAGAAUUUUAAUGUAAACCGAGUUAACCGGUCCAACCAUUGACCCACUGGUUGGACCAGUGACUCAUUGACCCAGUACCCUGACCGAGUCAUUAACCGGUCCGAGUUUAAUAACACUGCUUACAAUUGUAACAAAAAAAUUUAUAAAUUUUAAUAUAUAUGUUUGUGAUUUUAAAUUUUCCUUUAUUAGUUCUGAAAGUAUCAACUAUAUUUUUAGCUAAUAAAUGAUUUGACAUUUUACAACUAAAUAGAAUAGCAAUAUUAAGAAAAUGACUAAUUCAAAUAUUAGUACAAUUCCAAUCAAAGUUAUUUCCGAUUCCUUAAUUUUAGAUCAGAUUCAUUAUAAAUAUAAAUUUAUUGUCAUUUAUUGUUUAAUUAUAUAAUAGGUAAUAUGAAAUAUUUAUAAAUCAUAACAAAUAUGUAUUCCUUAAUGUUAGAAAAUAGUAAAUUAUAUAAUAACAAUUUUUUUAUCAAAAUAGUAAUUUAUAUUAAUAAUAUUAUAAAAGAUGUUAUGAUGAUAUUGUGAGAUAAAAGAUAUGAUGUUAACCCUUAUUUAUAGUAAUACAAGACUUCUAAUUAAAUAAGGAGACAUAUCAUAAAAGAUAAAAUAAAGCAAUCUCAAUUCUAAAAAAUGUAUUAUAAACAGAUGUAAGAUAUAAUCAUAAGAUGAGAUGUUAUAUUUACAUCAAUGUUCAUUUAAAUAUCAAUCUAAAACAUAAUUUAAGAUACUUUCAUAUAUUCUAAUAAGGACACCUACAUAAAAAUGGAACAAUAACAAAAUUACUAAAAUAAUUAAAAUUGUUACAUAAUUUUCUAGGAAAAGUGCUUAAAACCCCCGUAAUUUUAUGCAAUUUGUAAAUAGGCACCAUAAACUAAUUUUUUUCUUCUAAUUAUCCAUUAAAAUUUAUUUGAUGAAAUUGGUCAUUACAUAAACAUAUCGUUAAAUUACUCAUAAAAAAUAAGGAUAACAUUGCAAUCAGAAUCACAAUAGUAGUAAUGCAACACUAAAGGUUAGCAGUGUUAGUAUCCAGAGGAAACCGCCUUCAAAAUAUAAAAUUGACUAUGAAGAAUACGAUAAGUAAAUUUUCAAAGUUAGAAGUGAUUAAUACAAUAAUAGUGUUAUAUAUAAAAAAAAUCAUUUAAAAGUCGAUGUUAAAAAGUGCAUGAGUUAGAAUUUGUCAUUAAUAUUAAUUUAUUUAACAUUAUCUUUAUGUACGAAUCAAUUUCACUAAUAGUUAAAGUUUAAGUGAUAAUUAAGAAGAAAAAAUAGUUCACGACAACUACUUAGAAAAUGUAUAAAGUUUAGGAUGGUUUUGUAAACAUUUCCCAAAUUUUUUAUUAGAAAUGUCUAAGAUAACGUAAGAAAAGUACUAAUAAUUCCAACGUUACAUCUUCCAAGAAUAGUCGCAUGUCUAUCAUAAUCUUUUAAAGGAUAUCAUAGUGUUCUACCAUAAAUCAUAUCUUUAGACAUACCAUUUAGAAUAAGAAAACAUUGGUGUAGCUUGAACAUAACCAAAAAUCUUAAUGAUAAUCCUUUGAGCUCGGUGUAUCAUAAAAGGGUAGUCUAGUGCAGGCCCUCAUACAUAGUGGGAUCUGAUAAUGAUAAAUGUGUGUAGUUUUACUUUUGCAAUUGAAUAGGUUAUCUUCAAGAUUUGAAUUCAUGACCUACGUGUUAAAGGACAAGCAAUCUUACAGAUGUGUCGAUUGCAUGGAUCAAAUAUAUCAUUCGCUGAUUUGAGGGGGGAAUGACAAUUUUUUUAAAUUUUAUUAAGUCAUUAGCCGAUCUCAGCAAGUGGGAUUAAGGUGAGGUGAUUGUUUUAAUAUAAUCAUUGUGUCUUGUGAGUCUAAUACAAACUAACAUCUAUCAAUUUUCCCAGCGUUCAAUCUUCUUAGUUCCUGUCUUACAAGAAAUCCUUGUCCCCAUAGAGAACGAUUAUGAUUUAUUGCUCUUCUAUGUGGAGUGCACUUUAGGAUAAAUCAAUGAUUAUGAUAUUAACAAUUCCAAGGAUUGUUAUACGUCUACAAACAUAUUAUCACAACCACUUCAAUGCAAUUUAGAGGAGUUAAAUCCAAAUACUCCAACAUAAUGAAUUUUAUCUACAGAAAAAUUAACGUUAACACAAAAUUCACUGAACCCUCCAUUCCAUAAAGUAUCAAUGAUACACUACAGCAACAAUUUGAAGACAACCCAUGAUAACAAGAACUGAAAUUCAAUUAAAGACAUUAUAGAACAAUAAAAAUCAAAACUUGCUGGAAUGGGGAUUCUCCAUAGUCUAGUAUCAGUGAAUGUUCAACAAACUCAACCAAUGCCUGAACUUGUCCACAGUAAUCGGUUUGAUUAACAUAUCAGCUGCAUUUUCUGAAGUGUGAACCUUCUGUAGUAGUAGCUGACCACAAGCUACCAACUCUCUAAUCUUGUGAAAUUUCAUAUAAAUAUGUUUGGUCUUUGCAUGAUACACCUGGUUCUUUGCCAAGAAGAUAGCACUCUCAUUGUCACAAUGCAGCGGAACUCCAUCUUGCUCAAUGCAUAAUUCAUUUACUAGCCCCAUAAGUCAUAGGGCUUCCUUAGAAGCUUCACUAGUUGUCAUGUACUCUGCUUUAGUUGUGGACGUAGCAACAACAGACUGAACUGAUGAUAUUUGAUCCCCUUCUAGAAGUGUGUCUCACCACUAGGGAGAAAAUCUCAUUAUAUUCGAUCCCCUUCUACUGUGAAUACCCUUUUGCUACAAAGCGAGCCUUGAACUUUUCCCCUUCUUUUUUGGAUAUUGUUGGCUUCUUCUUGUACACCUACUUGCACCCAACUAAAAGCUUGUAUGGGGACAAGGGGAUAAGGUCUCAAGUUUGGUUCUUGUGUAAAGACUUCAUCUCCUCCAUCAUGACAUCCAUCCAUUGUUCUUUCUCCUGUCUGCUUAUAGCCUCUUGAAAGCUACAUGGAUCUCCUGAACUGAUAUGGAGAGCAACUGAAGCCAUAUCCUCAAAGUCAUAUCUCUCUAAAGGUUUGAUAGGAUGUCUAUCCCUGUCUCUAGCAAGUAGAUACUCCUACACACCUAAACUCUCUACAUGAGAAUCAUCGCGUUCUUGACUUGAACUAGUGCAUGGUUCCUUAUCUUUAUUCACCUGAACUAUUUCAUUGCUCACUGGAAUCAUAUUUGAUCCCAAAGUCUCUCUAUUUGGCAUGGGCACCUCUGUUAAAACUGAUUGUUUCAGCAUGAAAUCUUCAUCAAACACUAAAUCUCUACUCAACACCACUUUUUGGAAACUGAAUCCUAGAACUUGCACCUCUUCACACAUUUGGCAUAUCCAAUGAAAAUACACAUCUUUGACUUGUGAUCAAGUUUAUAUUGUUCAUCAUUAGGUACAUAUACAUAAGCAUAAUAACCAAAUAUGUGUAACAUAUUAUAAUUGGUUGGGUUACAUGUCCAUACUUCUUCUGCAACUUUAUCAUCUAAUGAAGCUCGUGGUGAUCUAUUGAUGACAUAGCAUGUCUAAGUGCCUCUUCUCAAAAUCCUUUGGAAAAUCCAACAUUCAGUCUCAUACAUCUGGCCCUCUAUAUAAGAGUUUCAUUCAUCCUCUCUGCAACACCAUUCUGUUAAGGAGUCUUCUUCAUUAAAAAAUGUCUAUGAAUAUUAUGUUCCUCGCAGAAUUUCUGAAUCUAUGAGUCUUUGUACUCUAUACCGUUGUCUGAUCUCGUGUAUUUGAUUUUUCUACUAGUCUGGUUCUCUACUUCUACCUUUCAAACCUUGAACUUGGCAAAGACUUAUGCCUCGGAAAAUAUACCCAGACUUUGUGAGAAAAGUCAUCAACAAAGGUAACAAAAUACCUAGAACCUCCUAGGUAUGGUUUCUGAGUGGGUCCUCAUACAUCAGUGUGGACAUAGUCUAGAAUGUCCUAAUUCUUGUAUUGGUCAGCCUUGAAACUAACUCGUGUUUAUUUCUCAAGCAUAUAAUACUUGCACAAAACUAGCUUGCAUUUCUCAAGCAUAUAAUAUGACCCAAAUGCAUGUGCCAUAAUUUUGUAACAUCAUGAUUUGAAUCUACUGAAAUCUCCUCAGUCACUCCAGCAACUCCACCUACAACUGUUCUCCCUAACAACUUGUAAGUGUUCCCAACAGUCCUCUUAUCCUUCAUUACAGUCAAAGCACAUUUGCAUACUCGAAGAAUAUCAUUAUCUUCAUUAGCUCUAUAGAUAAAUCAUUUGGCCUAUAAUGUCCUCAAAGAAAUCAAAUUCUUCUUCAAAUCUGGUAUAUGCUUAACCCCACAUAACGUUUUCAUUAGAUCAUCACCCAUCACAAUUCUGAUUUCUCCUAUGCUAAUAACUGCAUAUGCUUUAUUAUUUCUGAGAUACAAGAAAGCAUAAUUGUCUUCCCUGUAUGUUGUGAAUCAUUCUUUGUUUGGCGUCAUGUGGUGGGAACAACUAGUGUCAAGUAUCCACUGUUUUGCAUUAUAAUUUGAUGAUACAUAUAAUAGAUCACCUUCACUGUUGUAACCAGAGUCAUAUUUAUGUGCAACAUUUGUAAUGUAGAUACUCCAUCUUUAUUAUUUUCCCUUUGGCAGGACCUCCUCUGUCUUGUCUCCUCUCACGCGUUUGGCUCCCUUUCACAUAUAGACCAUCACCAUGAGACCAUUCCCCUACAUUCUGUCUUUUUUGAGUGUGGGACAGAAGUACAGAUGUGAUCUCAUCUAGUUUGAUUGAGUAUUUCCUAUAUGUCAAUGUUGUCACCAAGUGUUCAUAGGAAUUUGGCAAAGAACACAGUAAUUUAUUGAUUUGUCCUCAUCAUCAACCUUCAUAUCAAGUUUAUGCAAAUCGUUGAUCACUUCAUUAAAAGUGUUGAGAUGUUGUUGCAAUUAGUACCCUCCUACAUCUUUAGGCAUAGAGUCUCUGUUUCAAAUACAACUUAUUUGUUAGAGACUUGGACAUGAAACGUUUUUCUAAUGUCUCUCAUACCUCUACUGGUAACGUCAAAUCCAUAACAUGAUACAUCAUCUCAUCUAAUAGGCAGAGUCGUAUAGUUCCUGUAGUCUUCUCCUUCAACUCUUCCCAAUCUAGUUGAUCCAUAUCAUAUGGUUUAUUCUCACGCAGCGCUUUUGCUAGACCUUGUUGAGCCAACACAUUCUUAACCCUCCUUUGACACAAUCCGGAAUCACUAGUUUUAUUGAACUUCCCCACCUCGAAUUGGCAUAUGGGUUAAGAGCCAUCUGAUAUCAAUUGUUGGGAAUAAGCGAACAAUCAAAUAGUAAAAGAGAUCGGGAAAAGAGAAUAACACAAGGAAAUUGGUAAAGAGGUUCAAUCAAUUGUGCUUACAUCACAGGAGCGUUGAGAGACUGCCACUAAGUAUUAGAGAAUUAGGAUUUGUGUUUAGCUAUUGUUAUCCUUGUUAUAUUAGAUUUACACAACAUAAAUAUAUAGUCAUCUACCUUAACCAUUUACAUUAGUUCAAGCUCAUAACUUAUAUUGCUAUUAUCUAGAGAAUGACUCAUUGCACAACAAAUUUAUUGGUUAUAAUGAUCAUUAUAAUAUCAUAUUAUUUUCAUAAAGCUGAUGUAUGAUUAAAACAAGUAUUUUGUCUAUGGCGAAUAAAGUAUAAGACUCUUUAAUGUUAAGUAAGAAAGUGAGCCCAAAAAAUAUUCUGAAUUCAACUCCUUAAUAAGUAAGGAGUUUCAGAAAAAUGUAUCUUAUGUUUUCAUCAUUUAUAUAAGACAUCUUCUUAUUCAAAUUUUAUUAUAAAAUUAUUACGUAAUUAAAUUAUUUUGAUAUAGUUAAAAAACUUUACAUGAAAAAGCCAACCAUCCACUCAAAUCUGAGCCGUUAAUACCCCUUGAUAAUGAAAUAUCUCAUCCAACGGCUAAUAACUUAGACAGAAAAUAUACAUGAAAGAACACUUAUGGGGAUUUGUUGUUCCAAAAUGUCUUUAACCACGCCCCCUGACCAAUUACAAUAAAAUAAAAUUGAUAAAGUUAUGAAUUUUUAAUUUUUUCUAACUGACAUAAUAUGAUUGGUCUGAAACAAGAUUUGGGACAACAGAUCCUUGUCCGAAAGAACACACCAGAAAACCACAUUAAUUCUGCAUAGAAAGACAAGUGUAUGAGGAAAACGAUGAUAAACGUGGAACAAGACCCGCAAUGGAUUUAGAACCAUCGUUACAUUCUAACACGUGUAUGGUAUAGAUCUAACGUUCUCUCUCCUCAAACUCGUUAUAAAUUGAGUUCAUUGCUUCUCAUUGAAACUCAUUCAAGUGAGUUAGAUAAUUGUUGUGAUUCUUCAAGUGAGUUUUGUGUUUUUCUUUCUCUGAAACUGAAAAUGUCUUCUUGUUGUGGAGGUAACUGUGGUUGUGGAAGUGGCUGCAAGUGUGGAAAUGGAUGCGGAGGGUGAGAUUUUUAUGCAUUUUCUUCAUUUUCUAGUGAAAUGGAAGCUGGAUUUUUUUGAGUUUUGAUUGAAUAUUCUGGAUACCCUUUUGUCUAAAUUGUGUAAAAAUGAAGUUUUUUUUUCAUUUGCAUGGGUUUAUUUAUAUCUUUGUUUUUCUCAGAAAAUUGAAGUUUAAUUUUCUGGGAUACUUUUGUUCUUCAAUGUUUUGGUUGGUUGGCUUUUUUUGUUAUACCCUUUUGUUUAAAUUGUAUAAAAACCAAUGCUUUAUGUUUUUUUGUUAUACCCAUUUGGUUCAAUUGUAUGAAAAAUUGAUGCUUUUGUUUUGUUCUUACAUGGAUCAGAUUUUGGUCACGUAGACCUUGUUUUGACAACAAACAAAAAUAUUGUCUUAUUUUCCUGGAACAAUUGUUUUCGGAGUAUUAAUUUUUUCCCUGGGUACCCUUUAUGCUGAAUUUUAUGAAAAGUUAAUGCUUUUUUUUUUGUCUUGCAUAUUUGUCUAGAGGCUAGAUUCUUUAAUAAUCACUUUGUUUCUAUUUUGAUUGGCUUUUUGGGUACCCUUUUACUUAACCCAUGUCUUGAUAACUCACUGAGGUGUUUAUUUUUCUAUAAAAUGUUUCUAGUAAUCUUGAUAUAAAAUAUCUCUUGUUUUUGUUAUGAGAAGUCUUUGUUGAUUUUCCAUGUGCUUCUGCAGCUGCAAAAUGUACCCAGACUUAAGCUACACUGAGAGCACCACCACUGAGACUUUGGUUAUGGGAUUUGCACCUGUUAAGGCCCAUUUUGAGGGUUCUGAAAUGGGUUUUGGAGCUGAGAAUGAUGGUUGCAAGUGUGGAGCAAAUU
This 20362-nucleotide long non-coding RNA is filed under the name Lupinus angustifolius (narrow-leaved blue lupine). Its description in RNAcentral is "long non-coding RNA (LANG_LNC001304)". The record is from RNAcentral. Lineage: Eukaryota; Viridiplantae; Streptophyta; Magnoliopsida; Fabales; Fabaceae.